GAUGAACGCUGGCGGCGUGCUUAACACAUGCAAGUCGAGCGAGUGAGUUCUUCGGAACGAUCUAGCGGCGGACGGGUGAGUAACACGUGGGCAACCUGCCUCAUAGAGGGGAAUAGCCUCCCGAAAGGGAGAUUAAUACCGCAUAAAAUUAUCGAGUGGCAUCACAUGAUAAUCAAAGGAGUAAUCCGCUAUGAGACGGGCCCGCGGCGCAUUAGCUAGUUGGUGAGGUAACGGCUCACCAAGGCGACGAUGCGUAGCCGACCUGAGGGGGUGAGCGGCCACAUUGGGACUGAGACACGGCCCAGACUCCUACGGGAGGCAGCAGUGGGGAAUAUUGCACAAUGGGGGAAACCCUGAUGCAGCAACGCCGCGUGAGUGAUGAAGGUCUUCGGAUUGUAAAGCUCUGUCUUUGGGGACGAUAAUGUCGGUACCCAAGGAGGAAGCCACGGCUAACUACGUGCCAGCCGCCGCCGUAA
This 476-nucleotide ribosomal RNA is filed under the name uncultured bacterium. RNAcentral describes it as "partial 16S ribosomal RNA". It matches the Rfam family "Bacterial small subunit ribosomal RNA", at positions 28 to 523 of the family's 1533-position model. The record is from RNAcentral.